Molecule: long non-coding RNA, 1519 nt
Filed under: Zostera marina
Lineage: Eukaryota; Viridiplantae; Streptophyta; Magnoliopsida; Alismatales; Zosteraceae
Description: long non-coding RNA (ZMAR_LNC001372)
Source: RNAcentral
GAUCUACUCCACGAUUCUACGUGGUUAAGUAGCCCCCGACCGGGAGGCCGUAUGAUCCUUAUAUAAAAUCCGUCAUUGAAACACCGCCAUUGAAAAUUAAUUAAAACCAUCGUCGAGUCCAAGCCUUUCCUUGGCGGAUUGAAACAAUUGAUGAUGGAUUUUCGACAUCAAAAAAAUUGAAUUUUUGAUGGCGGAAAUCCGUCAUUAAAAACCUGUCAUACAAUGUCUUUUCAAUGGUGGAACAACCUUGAAAUUAUCAACUGCCUACCAUCCGGAGACUGAUGGACAAACUAAAGUAACCAAUAGAGGCAUUGAAAUGUUCUUAAGGUCAGUGGCUUAUGAGAAACCAAGGAAGUGGUUAGAGAUGCUACCAUGGGCUGAGCUGUGGCAUAAUUCCACAUUCAAUAUAUUUAUUGGCAUGACACCAUUUAUGGCAUUAUAUGGUAGAGAAGCCAACACAUUCACUGAGCUUCCAAGAGAAGAAAUCUCAGAGAUAUCGGUAAAAGAAGAGCUGGACAGGAGGUCUGAAAUUGUGGAACUGAUCAAGAUCAACUUAGAAAAGGCUAAAGAAGCAAUGAAAAGGCAAGCGGAUCAACACAGAACUCACAUAGAAUUCUAGGAAGGAGAUUGGGUUUUUGUCAAGUUCAAACCCUAUCGGCAAAUGUCUGUAGCAUACAGAUUUCACCAUAAGCUAUCUCCCCGAUAUUUUGGGCCAUUUCAAGUCGAAAAGAAAAUCAGUACAGUUGCCUAUAAAAUUACAUUGCCUACUAACAGUGCUAUACACCCAAUUUUUCAUAUUUCAGUGCUCAAAUUAUACAAGGGUGAGCUUCCCCCAAAGAAAUUCAAUUGCUUACCGGCCAGAUUUAGCUGUGAAUAACGAGCCCGUUAUUUUUCCGGAGGAGGUGCUGGAGGAGAGGACGCUGCUGGUCGACGGGAAGCCCGUAGAGCAAAUACGAAUUAAAUGGCAUGGUCUGGAGGAGGAAAAGAGCUGAUCAUGGGAAGACAAGGUAACUUUGUCAAGGUUAUUUCCAACCAUUAACCUUGAGGUCAAGGGUAAUCUUAUGGGGGAUGGAAAUUAUAGGGAGACUUACCAGAACGCGAUGUUGGAGGAGACGCGACGGCUGAUCCAGGACCUGAGAGACGGACCCGACGAGUUGGAGGACGGCGUCGCCAAGUCACCGGCAGAGGAAGGGAAUAACGAUCUCCCAACUGUCGCUUUGGGGAUUGCUAAUCGGAGUCGGAGGAACCGGUACCCGAGUACCUAGUUGGCGGGUUAUGAAACCUAAUUGGAAGGGGCCAAUGGAGAAAUCAAAGGAAAUUAGAGAACUGUAAUUUCUUUUAAGUAGUAAGGGUAAUUUAGUCAAUAAAAUUAUAAUAAGUAAUAUAAAUACCUUGCUUCAAAACCUAUUAUUUUUAUCAAUGAAAUUUCCAAAUUGAAAGGUUUUAAUUAACCUCAAGUAACGGCUGAAGCAGCCCAAACACUAUUCCAUUCCCUGCCUCCAUCGAUUCCCAUCCUUCC